UUUAGAGUUUGAUCAUGGCUCAGGAUGAACGCUGGCGGCAUGCCUAAUACAUGCAAGUCGAACGGGGUGCUUGCACCCAGUGGCGAACGGGUGAGUAACACGUAUCUAAUCUACCUUUUAGUGGGGGAUAACAGUUGGAAACGACUGCUAAUACCGCAUACGACAUCAUUAUCGCAUGAGAAGAUGUUGAAAGGCCCGUUUGGGUCGCUAGAAGAUGAGGAUGCGGCGUAUUAGCUAGUAGGUGGGGUAAAGGCCCACCUAGGCGAUGAUACGUAGCCGAACUGAGAGGUUGAUCGGCCACAUUGGGACUGAGAUACGGCCCAGACUCCUACGGGAGGCAGCAGUAGGGAAUUUUUCACAAUGGGCGAAAGCCUGAUGAAGCAAUGCCGCGUGAGUGAUGACGGUCUUCGGAUUGUAAAGCUCUGUUGUAAGGGAAGAACAGCUAGAAGAGGAAAUGCUUUUAGUUUGACGGUACCUUACCAGAAAGCCACGGCU
Molecule: ribosomal RNA, 495 nt
Filed under: Spiroplasma endosymbiont of Heliconius timareta
Lineage: Bacteria; Bacillati; Mycoplasmatota; Mollicutes; Entomoplasmatales; Spiroplasmataceae
Description: bacterial SSU rRNA
Rfam family: Bacterial small subunit ribosomal RNA
Source: RNAcentral